Long non-coding RNA from Megalopta genalis, 778 nucleotides. RefSeq lists it as uncharacterized. The record is from RefSeq and is a predicted model, not a curated record. NCBI's taxonomy places the organism in Eukaryota, Metazoa, Arthropoda, Insecta, Hymenoptera, Halictidae.
GCGUUAACGAACUCUUCUCGAUCAUGCAGCAACUUCGAAGAAGUUUCAACCGAAUGCUCGAAUAUUUCAUUUCAGAUCACACUCGUCCAUUGAUUGUUUUCAAUCAUCCACUGCACUCCUUCAAACAGGAUUCAAAGCGUAUUACACACAUAACACAAUUUAUUGAUUAUAGUCCGAACAGAUUUCACAUAUUCGUUUAAGAAAUUGCGGUUGUCUUAUUUUUGGCGACGGCUGAAAUGACUGAGUUACGGAGGAAAGGAGGGGAGAGCGUUUCACCCGGAACCCGCUAGAAGACUCAUCGUAAGAACGAGUGGGUGGAACAUAAAGCAGCGGCGUCGAGAGAAAUGUUGAUUGCGCUGUCACCCACAAUUAGAUGGCGUAAUCAUUUACACAAAUCUCGAAGUUAAUUUCUAUGCUGAUGGAUUCAACGGAUCAAAUCUGUUUCACGAUGAAAUGGAAGAGAAUCGAAAGGGCAUCUCCUCGAAGAAGAAAAUUCUGCCGAAUUGUUCCACUUUCUAUUGCAUCUCGGCACAGCAAAAGCGAAGGUGUUUAAAUCGAUCUUGUUAGAGGAAUUAGAGCAGCCUAACAGAUAAGAUACGAGAGUGCAACGACGCCACGCAUCGAUAUUCUCCAAGAAUUCUCACUUGCAAGAAAUGCGCGUCACUCAAGAGCUAUUCGAAGUCGUUGUUUCACUUAGUCGUGCAAUUCCCUGCUACACUGUCCGACAAAAUCAAACUUUUUUUCUGGGUUCCUAUAGCCACUAUGAAAUUCUUGUAGA